UUCUCGAAAAUUAAAGAAUUUGGCGGUAUUUUAGUCUAUUCAGAGGAACCUGUCCUGUAAUUGAUAGUCCACAAGUGGAAUUACUUAUUUUAUUAGUUUGUAUAUCGCCGUAGUUUGAAUAUUUUAUAAGAAAAUAAAUAUUCAAUAAUUUAAAAUUAAGCAGAAAUCAGGUCAAGGUAUAGCUUAUAAAUAAGAAGAGAUGGGUUACAAUAAAUUUAUUUAGAUGGAUUAUAAGAUUAAAUUUUUAUAUGAAAGUGGAUUUGAAAGUAAUUUUAAUUAAAUUAUUAAGAUGAUUUUAGCUCUAAAAUAUGUACAUAUCGCCCGUCACUUUCACUAUAAAGUGGAAUAAGUCGUAACAAAGUAGGCGUACUGGAAAGUGUGCCUAGAAAGACAAAUUAGAGCUUGAUAGAAGCGUUUUAUUUACAUUAAAAAGUUUAUUGUGAAAUUCAAUAUGGUUUGAAUUUUAAAAAUUAUUGAUUUUAAAAUUUUGUGAUUUUUUAAAUAAAAAAAUUAAUUUUUUAUUAUAAGAAAGAAUAAAUUUAAUUUAUUAUAGUAAAUUAGUAUUGUGAGAGAAUUUUUAUAAGUUUUUAAAAGAAAAAUUUAUUUUUUGUACCUGGGGGAUCAGGGUUUAUUAAAUAAAAAAUUUAAAGUUUAAAUUUCUCGAAACUUAAAAGAGCUAAUUUAUUAUAUUUUUAAUUGUUAAAUUAAUUUUAAAAAUAAUAAAUUAGAAAUGAAACGUUAUUCGUUUUUAAAUUUAUCUAGUUUUUAAAGAAAAAAAUUUAAUUUAUUUAUUAUGAAUAUUUUUUAAUUUAUUAAUAAGAUAUUAAUAAUAGAUAAUAAUUUCGGGGAUGAGCUUGGAGUUAAAUGAUUAAAAAUUUAUUAAAAUGGAAAAAAAGUAGGAUUAUAAGUUUUUAUCUUUUAAAGUGUGUUAUUACUUAUUUUUGGAUAAUUAAGAUUUUUAUUAAAUUUUAAAUUUUAUAUUUAAAUAUUAUUUGUGAUUUUUUAAAAUAAGAAAUAAUGAUAAAAUUAGUAAAUUUUUUUUGUAAAUUUAAAUUUAUAGUAAAGGUAAAAUAAAGGAAUUCGGCAAAUAAUUUUUCACCUGUUUAAUAAAAACAUGGCUUUUUGAUUAUAAUUUAAAGUCUCGCCUGCCCAAUGAGGAGUUAAAUGGCUGCGGUAUCUUGACCGUACAAAGGUAGCAUAAUAAUUAGUUUUUUAAUUGAAAGCUGGAAUGAAAGGUUGGAUGAGAAAAUUACUGUCUCUAUUUUAUUUAUAUUGAAUUUUAUUUUUAAGUAAAAAAGCUUAAAUUUAAUUAAAAGACGAGAAGACCCUGUAGAGUUUUAUAAUAGAAAGAAUUUCUUUUUUUAGAAUUAAU
Molecule: ribosomal RNA, 1372 nt
Filed under: Tracheloschizus dichrous
Lineage: Eukaryota; Metazoa; Arthropoda; Insecta; Coleoptera; Brentidae
Description: partial 16S ribosomal RNA
Source: RNAcentral